AGUGAACGCUGGCGGCAUGCCUAAUACAUGCAAGUCGAAGGAAGUGGCGCACGGGUGAGUAAUAUAUAGCUAAUCUGCCCCUUGCUGGAGGACAACAGUUAGAAAUGACUGCUAAUACUCCAUAGCAAGGGAUGAGACUAUAUCGUAUCAGCUAGUCGGUGGGGUAACGGCCUACCGAGGCUAUGACGCGUAACUGGUCUGAGAGGAUGAUCAGUCAAAUUGGAACUGAGACACGGGCCAAACACCUACGGGAGGCAGCAGUAGGGUAUACUGCGCAAGGGGGGAAAGCCUGACGGAGCUACGCCGCGUGGAGGAUGACACUUUGCGGAGAGUAAAGUCGUUUUGUUAGGGAAGCGGUACCUAACGAAUAAGCACCGGCUAACUCCGUGCCAGCAGCCGCGGUAAUAC
RNAcentral lists this ribosomal RNA (408 nucleotides) under uncultured bacterium. Its description in RNAcentral is "partial 16S ribosomal RNA". It matches the Rfam family "Bacterial small subunit ribosomal RNA", at positions 29 to 526 of the family's 1533-position model. The record is from RNAcentral.